GGAACACUGGUCACUUUAAUAAUGGAACACUGGUCACUUUAAUAAUGGACCACUAUUCACUUUUAUAAUGUUUACAUAUUUUUGCAUUACUGAUCUCACAUGUAUAUACUUUAUUAUAUACUAUUCUACUGUAUCUCAGUCUAUGACGCUCUGACAUUGCUUGUCCAAAUAUUUAUAUAUUCUUAAAUCUAUUUUUUACUUUAGAUUUGUGUGUAUUGUGUGUAUUGUUGUGAAAUUGUUAAGAUAUUACUUGUUAGAUAUUACUGCACUGUUGGAGCUAGAAACACAAGCCUUUUGUUACACCCGCAAUAACAGCUGCUAAACAUGUGUAUGUGACCAAUAACAUCUGCUAAACAUGUGUAUGUGACCAAUAAACUUUGAUUGGAUUUGUACAAAACAUUAGGAACACCUUCCUAAAACUGAGUUGAAGAGGAGCCUUUCUGUUAUUUAGAUCUGGUUCUUUCACAACAUGCUCCUCUACAACUCAGGUGUUAGAGACCAAUAGAGAGGGAGCAGAACAUGCUCCUGUACGACUCAGGUGUUAGAGACCAAUAGAGAGGGAGCAGAACAUGCUCCUGUACGACUCAGGUGUUAGAGACCAAUAGAGAGGGAGCAGAACAUGCUCCUGUACGACUCAGGUGUUGGAGAGGGAGCAGAACAUGCUCCUGUACGACUCAGGUGUUAGAGAGGGAGCAGAACAUGCUCCUGUACGACUCAGGUGUUGGAGAGGGAGCAGAACAUGCUCCUGUACGACUCAGGUGUUGGAGAGGGAGCAGAACAUGCUCCUGUACAACUCAGGUGUUGGAGAGGGAGCAGAACAUGAGUCAUUAAUAUUCAUAUCCGUUGCAAAACAGUUUCUGUUGUGUAGCCCUAAUGAACAUGACCCAUGUUUCAAGCCUCCACUGCCUCAGCAUGCCACGGAUACCUAUUUUUGUGCAACUCAUGUUGCUUGAUCACGUACAAAUACUAAACAGUGGUACAUUGUUGUUCACCAAAACUUGACUAAAUCAGAGAGCACUUUAAUGGACAUGUCAAUGUUUUUUAUAU
Molecule: long non-coding RNA, 1047 nt
Organism: Oncorhynchus tshawytscha (Chinook salmon)
Lineage: Eukaryota; Metazoa; Chordata; Actinopteri; Salmoniformes; Salmonidae
Source: Ensembl